Long non-coding RNA from Spinacia oleracea (spinach), 3068 nucleotides. RefSeq lists it as uncharacterized. The record is from RefSeq and is a predicted model, not a curated record. Lineage: Eukaryota; Viridiplantae; Streptophyta; Magnoliopsida; Caryophyllales; Amaranthaceae. The transcript is spliced from 7 exons.
UGAUGUUCUCUAAUUAGCUAUCGUUGCCCGCAACUUCACCUUUUAGGGGAAAAGAAAAACCGCCUCGGCUCACUGAUCGAAUACCCCUUAGGCCCUCACCACCUCUCAUCUCCUGCUAAAGAAUCUCAGAUCUAAUCUCCUCUCAUUGGAAUUAUCUUGUUCGGCAUUCCAAUGGUUAUUUAACAUCUUCUACCUUGUCGGUCUUGUGAAAGAAGCUGAGAUUAUGUUGUUCUGUGCCUGAAUUCGGUGUUUCGACGAGUUUGCAGUUGCAAUUGAGAAAAAUUUGAGCUUGGAAUGGGACUUUUAGAUGGGCUACAUGUCCCUUCUGACAAAGUUGGUCAGCCAGGUGCCCCUCCUGCUCUAGCUCAGGGACGGCUCCAUAUGCAGUAGAAGGUGUAACGAGGCUUGAUCAAUAACUUGUAACAAUGGUGCAGUAUAACCUCAAGAAAAUUACAGUUGUUCCCAAUGGGAAAGAAAUGAUAGAAUUUGUUCUAUCUCGAACUCAAGGUUAAACCCCAACAGUUGUCCAUAAAGGUUAUGCAAUUUCUCGUCUUAGGCAGUUUUACAUGAGGAAAGUCAAAUACACACAACAGAACUUUCAUGAAAAGCUUUCUUCCAUUAUUGAUGAGUUCCCUAGGCUCUAUGAUAUCCACCCUUUUAUGGAGAUCUCCUCCAUGUUCUUUACCAUAAUGAUCGCUACAAGCUUUCCCUUGGACAAGUGAAUACUGCAGGAAACCUGAUUUCAAAAAUCUCCAAGGAUUAUGUUAAGCUGUUGAAGUAUGGUGACUCACUCUACAGAUGUUGUAUUUCUCAAUCUCUUGUCUCAAUUUGCAGAUCUUGUUCGUCCAUAUUAAUGGUUUUGUCAUCUUAUAUGAUGUAGAUGGUCUAGCGUAAGGUAACAUCAAAAGUUCCUCCUUGUUUUUGUUUAAUUUUUCGUUAUUUUUUCUAAUUUUGGAUAUCUAGGGUUUUUAGGUAGUUUCAUUUGCAGCUGAAGUACUAGCAAGAGUCGGCCCAUUAAUUAAGAGCAUGUGAAGCUUUAUAUCAGAGUACAUAAAAAUAAAGGGGAAAAGCAGUAGCAUCAGCUGAAAUGUAAGAUGCAUUGUCUUCUUACAACAAAAACAAUCCCCUCCUAAUUGACUUUAGAAAAUGAUGGUUUAACAAUAAGACAGAUAUUAUUAUCUACAAAUAUUAUGGGGUGAGAGGGGAGGUGAUCAAACAUUCAAACCGACAUGUUUCUAUUGCAAUUGUAUAGAGAAUGUUCUUUGUAUGCUCUGGAGGCCUUGAUAUGUAUUUGGCAACUUAGAGAACUAGGUUAGAGCAAUAACAUUCUUCUCUUUCUGAAUUCUGAAACAAGGCCGCUUAACUUUCUUUUUGAAAACAGGUUAGAGCUUGGUCUUUUGUUGGGGGCUCUUAGAUGUGCUUAGAAUAUGCAUUAGGGCUACCCUGCUGAAACAUUUGUGUUAUUAUAUGCGCUUGAGGUUGUUUUUAAGGUUUGAAUUGAAAUUUAUUAUUCCAGUUUAUUAUUUUGGUUGGCCCGUUAUCUGAUUAUUAUCAACCUGCAAUAGCACUCGCUUCACAGCACUGGAAAGAACAGUAGUGUGUCUGAGUGUUCUUUGCGGUUAGGGGCUGACUUUUUUGGUUACUGCUUCUAUUUUUCUGUUGCAAUUUGUUGCUCUGGUGCUCUUUUCUUCUACUAUCCAAUUUGUUGUUCUGGUGUUAUUUUCUGCUGCUAUCCUAGCUGUGUCGUCCUUUUUCGGAUAAGUUACGAAAAAUAGCUAACAUGUUUAUUGUGUAAGUGGUGUUUUUUUCUUUGUUACUCUGUUCUUAACCUAUGUCCUAUUUAGUAGGUACUGAACAUGUUAGCUUUGGUUAGUUACUAGUAAGAAAACAAAGAAAACACACCUCCAAAGUUUGUCAGCCUUGCUGAUCUCUUCUUCUGUGCAGGCGAUUUCAGCCCACCCAUAAAGUCAUCAUACACUAUUUCAGCCGACCCGUAAUUCCAUAAAGUCUUCAAACAUUGUUGCAACACAAACUAUGGUUAGUAGGCAUUGAUAGGCUAAUCACCCCCAACUAGCCAGUACGUCUCACUUUCAACUAUCAAGUAUCACCCUGAUUGUCUAGUGAAUAUCUCCCAAUAUCUAGUCCAUGCUAUCAGGCCUCCACUCUUCUUCGAGCUACACCUUAUCCCAACGCAAAUAUCCAAGUCUAUCACUAUCCCGAUACCCAUGCUGUUGAUAACUUUUGUUAAGUUUAUUAUUAAUUUAGCUUUAUCAUCUAAGAGACAAAGAAAUGCAAACUAUUGACUCUUGGGACUGGAUACCCUGGUAUAGCCGUUAUUGUAGUGGUAUAUAUGUCAGAAGCUAGGAAAAAUGAAACUGGUAUAGCUGAUACUGAUUUUGACUCCGACUCUACCCAGUCAAUCAAUGAAAAUAAGAGUUUAUGAAUGUUGUAAUUUUAUGUUGUCAGUACAUAAAAGUCUUCUGGUAUUUCAUGAUUUUUGUAGAAAAGAGUAAAUGUUUAUGAUGGCUUGAUCAGGGUUUUAUACAAGGGAGAUUCAACCAUUCGGAUUUGAAACAAUAUGUUUAUAUAAUGUAUUUGCAGGGGCUAAUCUGGUCUGUACGUAUGAACUAUGAAGUUGAUAAGUUGAUAAGAAGGGAAUCAACCCUCGUCUUUUAUUAGAGUUAACAUUUAUUGUUUCAUUGUUGUUUUGGUUCAUUUCCGACGGGUGAUUUGGAUUUCCAACUCAUGCUUAUUUCAUUUUGAUUUUUCUUUGAAGAUCGUCCAACGUGAUAAGGAGCCGCAUGAGAAUGAAGCCAUGACACUUGCGCUUAUAAGCUACUACCACUAUUAGAUCCUAGUUUUUCUAGGAUUUAGUUCUUCGGUUUAGUAGAUACAAUUUGUGUUUUUUUUAAUUAUGUUUUGGACUAUUUAGUUAGUAACAUAUUAGUGACAUUAUCAUGUACUAUGGAUUUUAACGUACUAUGUACUUCUAGAUUUUUGUAAGUAUUUUUAAUGUUAUGUUGAUCGAAGACCAAUUAUUUAAAAUUCAAGUUUUAUUCUUCUUGUUA